This 253-nucleotide ribosomal RNA is filed under the name uncultured bacterium. Its description in RNAcentral is "partial 16S ribosomal RNA". It matches the Rfam family "Bacterial small subunit ribosomal RNA", at positions 524 to 776 of the family's 1533-position model. The record is from RNAcentral.
UACAGAGGGUGCGAGCGUUGUCCGGAAUCACUGGGCGUAAAGGGCGCGUAGGCGGUUUUUCAAGCGUGCGGUGAAAGCUCAGGGCUCAACCCUGAGUCGGCCGUGCGAACUGGAAGACUGGAGCACGGUAGAGGCACAUGUAAUUCCGGGUGUAGCGGUGGAAUGCGUAGAGAUCCGGAAGAACACCGGUGGCGAAGGCGGUGUGCUGGGCCGUUGCUGACGCUGAGGCGCGACAGCGUGGGGAGCAAACAGG